UUAUCCCCUGUUCUUAGCAUCUACUUCUUCUCCCCUUGUCCUCUCUCUCUCACGAGCAAGCAUCGCCGCCACCGGUCGCCGCCGGGAAGUCGUCCGGCGCACACGCGCCGGUGAGUCGUCGUGCGCACUCCCCGCCGCGGAUCCGGAUCGGGCCACCGUUUGGCGCUAGAAACCACGGGCGGCGGCGGCCCUGUGACCCGUGGUUUCCGGCGGGGAUAACGACGACCGGUUCGCAGAUCCAUGUCUUCCAACGGGAUGACGGCCAGUACUCGCGGGGUUGGCGAUGUCCGGAUCAGCCCCUCCCUGCAACCCAUCCCCAUCGCCGGGCCCUUCCCGGCAGCGGCCACGCCGACGGCCGACCUCCCCGGCGCGCAGCCUGCAGAGACCCUCUGCUCCCUUGCGGUGGUCCGAUGGCUUUGGCGCCGCUGCUCCCCUGCGUGCUGGUUGCGAGAUGGGAUCAGGGGCCCAUUGCCUCCGUCAUCGCCCCUUCCGGCCAAGCAAAACUCAGCUUUGCCAAUGGAUGAGGCACUGCUGACCCUCAUUUAAGGGAAAACUCAGCUUUGCAAUCAGCUAAAGAGGUAUUUCCUUCCUGUCAGAUAUAUAAUGCAGAGCUCACAGAAAGGUAAAUUUAUUGAACUCCUUUUGCUGGAAAUUAUGAUUAAUUUUGUUCUUAUGUAGAAUGUCUUUAAUUUGCAUCUGAAUUUCUUGUGCCGCACUCACGCAACUGCUCUGACACGGAUGAGUGCUAGCACACAAAAGCUGUGUUUGGUAGGUGAUUGAGGACGCAUUUGCACAAAAACCGUUGGAUGAGGCACUGAAAUUGUGGUGAUUAGCAAGCAAGUUACUGCUCCAUGUAACCAUCUCAUACAAGAUCGUUAUACAAUUGUGGUGAUCAGCAAGCAAGUUACUGCUUCUUUUCACUCUUGCUAAUUUCGAAUUUUCUUACACCAUUUUAUUUGAUUGUCGCUUCUGCUGCAUUUCAGAUGGCACUCUGUCAAUGGCUCCAAACUAAUUCAGAAAAGCAUCUAUGAUCUCUCAAAGUGGUGUGUCUGUCCAGCCGUUACCAAUGGUUGCCGUAGCUGGCUUGUGGUGCUCUACCUCACGUUUGUCAGUGCCCAUGUGAAGAUUCAAGCUGCAAAUGGUUGUGUAUAGUUAGGAUAAUAUCCUAUCAAUGGACCCAGUUUUCCUAUUUCUUAGCAAUAUAUAUACGUAUUUGCUACAAGGGACGUGUUAUUAAAAUUUUAGCAUCUUGUUUCCAGUUUUGUUUGUACAUUGCCGCCAAAACUGGGUACCAAUGAACACAAAACUGAAACGCUUUAAUCAACA
Long non-coding RNA from Panicum virgatum (switchgrass), 1326 nucleotides. RefSeq lists it as uncharacterized. The transcript is spliced from 3 exons. Lineage: Eukaryota; Viridiplantae; Streptophyta; Magnoliopsida; Poales; Poaceae. The record is from RefSeq and is a predicted model, not a curated record.